UCUCCCGUGAGGGAGCAGUCUCGCCUGACAUAUAAAACAGGCAACGCGGGUUACAUUCGUUACCCCACUGAAGGGAACAACUCAAGCCACGAAUUGACGACGACCAUGCAUCACCUGCCCAGCCGCCUUGCGGAGACGGUAGUUUCCUACCGCGAUCGUCUGGGUUUCAAACCCUGGUGAGGUUCUUCGUUUGUCAUCGAAUUGAGCCGCAUGAUCCACCGCUUGUGCAAGUCCCCGUCUAUUCCUUUGAGUUUUAAUCUUGCGAUCGUACUACCCAGGCGCACAACUUAACGCGUUAGCUUCGCCUCAGAGAGGGUCGAUACUCCCUAAAGCCAGUUGUGAUCGUUUAGGGCGUGGACUAC
Molecule: unclassified non-coding RNA, 362 nt
Filed under: uncultured bacterium
Lineage: Bacteria
Description: contains 16S-23S intergenic spacer region
Source: RNAcentral